UCAGUCCCUAUCCCCAGGAGUUUCUCUUUUUUUAAGACAAACUUCUCAAGGAAAGCCACAACAGCACGGGCUAUAGAUUUGGCAUCUCCUCCCUCCAACUCAAUAAGUCCCAGAAAUGUUGAUACAACUGUCUGCUUGGUGUCACUAAAGUACCUUAUCACAACCCCCAGGUACUUAGAAACACUCACAUCCGUGGACUCAUCGAGGAGGAGGCUGAAACGCUGGUCACCCACAUCUGUGGACUCAUCGAGGAGGCUGAAACGCUGGUCACCCACAUCUGUGGACUCAUCGAGGAGGCUGAAACGCUGGUCACCCACAUCUGUGGACUCAUCGAGGAGGAGGAAACGCUGGUCACCCACAUCAGCGACCAACCUUUUCAGAAAGUAUGGUGCUAAAACAGCAUUAAUCAUUUCUGUGCACUUUGUCCUGUGCAUGUUGAAGUGGGUAGCAGCAGUGGAGUCUGAGAAAGCAGCUCUACAUGCUUCUCAAAUGUGAUCACAUGCCAGCAUGGAACUGUGUUCAGUGAUAGCUAAUUCCAUGGUGGCAUCAGCCUUUUUUGCAGAGUCAAAUUUUUUAACCAUAAAUGGCAGCUUGUUUUGAGUGGAACUGUUAUAAGGCUUUGCCUUUUGAGUAUGUUUUUGAGUUGUCAUGUGUUUUUUUACAUCACUAAGUUUGGCGGAGAAAUCAGCCUUACAAUACAGGCAGUAUGUCCGUGUAUCAUCUCCAAUAAACGGCUUCAACCAGCCUUUGAAUUCAGGGUUUGAUUCCCACUCCGUUCUGUAUUUUUGAGUGUACAGUUUAGAUUGAGACUUGAUGAGCUAGCCAGCUGCAUGUUUAGCUUAUGUCACAGGGAGGCACACACAGCGGACUUGGUGAGUAAGUGACAGGCUGUGUGAGUCAAAUGCAGUGAUUUAUUUUUGUGCAGUGAUUUAUUUUAGACAAAGAACAUUUUACAUCCCGCCCAGAAUGCAAGCCAGGGCGGGAUCAGCCAGCGGCAGCUUCCCGCAUGUGCGAGUCAUUUGCAAUAUGGACACGGAGGGUUGAACAUCUCCUGCUCUGACUGCAGCUGGGAGGGACUGCUGCGCGAGGACUGGGCCGCCUGUGAGUGCUUUGGGACGAGGGUGCGGCCCACAGCUGCACCCGCUGCUCGUUGAGAAGAGUAAGACCGGGGGCCUUUUUGAACAGAUACAUCAUUCUCUCAGAGAGGCUGGGUCUACAGCCAUGACAAGACCUCCGGAUGACAACCAGCAGAGCGUAACAGACUAAAACACCAAGCACCAAAUCCAUCAUCCUAAUCAGCUUGUAAAGAAACCCAAGAUUAGACCAUGAAAAUGCAACACCCCACACAACACAACUCCCACGGCCCCUCAGUGUCCUAAAAUGAUUUAUAACCUGACAAUACUGUAUUUCAGAUAGCUCAUAUGUAGAUUUAGACCUGCCAGUUUGGGGGCAUUGUUACAGUAGGGCACUGUAAGGUUAUUUUGGAUGGGGGUGUACAAUGCAUCAGAGGUGAUAUGUCUCUGGUGGUUGGUGGAAAGGAGUUUACUGUACCUGCCACGGUUGUGACAGUCAGGAUGCUGCCCUUAGCUCCAUUGUCCUCACCUGACUGAGUGGCCCGCACAGAGGGUAUUGAUGGAGCCCUCUGUGCAGCCAAGGAAAUAUAGCACAGAGAGAGUCAUCAGAACAAAACAGUCUGUCCAAAGAGAGAUGACGAUUUGUCUUUGGCCACCAAUAAAACUGACUCUCUCACGCUUU
Long non-coding RNA from Oncorhynchus tshawytscha (Chinook salmon), 1755 nucleotides. RefSeq lists it as uncharacterized. The transcript has 2 exons. Lineage: Eukaryota; Metazoa; Chordata; Actinopteri; Salmoniformes; Salmonidae. The record is from RefSeq and is a predicted model, not a curated record.